CAGUCGCCGCGGUAAAACGUAGGUGGCAAGCGUUGUCCGGAAUUAUUGGGCGUAAAGGGCUCGCAGGCGGUUUCUUAAGUCUGAUGUGAAAGCCCCCGGCUCAACCGGGGAGGGUCAUUGGAAACUGGGAAACUUGAGUGCAGAAGAGGAGAGUGGAAUUCCACGUGUAGCGGUGAAAUGCGUAGAGAUGUGGAGGAACACCAGUGGCGAAAGCACUCUGCUGGGCCGACACUGACACUGAGAGACGAAAGCUAGGGGAGCAAAUGGGAUUAGAUACCCCUGUAGUCCCUGUCUCUUAUAC
This 301-nucleotide ribosomal RNA is filed under the name uncultured bacterium. RNAcentral describes it as "partial 16S ribosomal RNA". It matches the Rfam family "Bacterial small subunit ribosomal RNA", at positions 509 to 807 of the family's 1533-position model. The record is from RNAcentral.